UUUUUCACUUAAAUAACAAUUUAUUGUUUUAAAAUAUAUUCCAUCUAUAUUACACACAUCUAAGAAAGUGAGUACAGGUGUGUUUAUAGAUCUUUAUAUAUGCUGUCAUAGACUUUGUGAGAUCUAGUGUAAUAUAUGGUGGCUAUAGACAGUAUUUUUUUUAUUUUCUAACGUUUUCAAAUUUUCUCAUGUUUCAAGAUCUCAGUCUUCACAAUGCAUUUUUAUUAUAAUAUGACAGACAUUUCAUUUUGUCUUUUAAUUGUAAGUUUAAAAGCAGGUACAGUUUGAGUUUUACUCAAAAAUAUAAUAAGUUUUCUAACAAUCCUCUACAACAUAGUCCUUAAUAAUUUUAAACGAUUUAUAUAAAUAAAUCAAAAGUAAUUUAUUAAAUACUAAAAGAUUAUUAUUUUGUUUGCAAUUCAUUUUACAGUUAAAAUAAACUAAACCAAAGCAGUAUUACAAAUAAAGAAUAUUUUAAAUGGACAAAAUGCA
RNAcentral lists this long non-coding RNA (492 nucleotides) under Mytilus galloprovincialis (Mediterranean mussel). The record is from RNAcentral. Lineage: Eukaryota; Metazoa; Mollusca; Bivalvia; Mytilida; Mytilidae.